UUUUUCUGCGGUCACAGGCUCAUGGCAUUUCCUAUUAUAAAUAGUUGAUGAGAUUAGAACGAUAUUAUUCAAUUCCAAUUCAAAUUCCACAAUUGCAAUGGAGUUCAAAUACCCAUCAUUUCUAUUAUUUUUCUCUUUGUUCUUACCUUUGAUGAUUUUGUUGAUUCUUAUCAAAAAGAAAAACAACAAAAGAUUGCCACCAGGACCGACAAAGCUUCCUAUCAUUGGGAAUCUCCAUAACUUAAUUUUUGCAGGUGACGAUCAUCUUCCUCGUGUGUUUGGAGAGCUCGCAAAGAAGCAUGGCACGUUUAUGCAUUUAAAAUUCGGUCAAAUCUCUCAAGUUGUCGUCUCUUCAUCCGAUCUUGCAAAAGAGUUUCUUAAAACCCAUGACAUCAACUUUGCAACUCGACCAGAUAAAUUCACGUCCAGACUUAUCUUUUACAAUAAUCGUGAUGUUGCGUUAGCGCCAUACGGCGAAUACUGGAGACAGAUGAAAAAAAUCGUUACUCUCGAGCUUCUCAGUGCGAAAAAGGUGAAGUUUUUUGACAGGUUAAGGAGAGACGAAGUGGGCAAAAUGAUCAACAUUCUCACCAAAGCUGCAACUAAUGGCACAUCGGUUAAUCUAAGUGAAAUGUUUCUUGUUUUUAACAACAACAUUUCCACUCGUUCUAUAUUUGGUGACAACAUUCGACAUCAGAAAGAAUUUCUGAAUGCUAUGAAGGUAGUAGUUGUUCUUGCAACUAGUUCCAAUUUUAGCAAUUUCUUUCCUCUUAUGGAAAAUUUCAUCGCCUGGUUGACUGGUAUGAAGCUUAAGACAGAAAAGACGCACAAGACAAUCGACAAUAUAUUAAAUACAAUCAUUGAUGAACAUCUUGGUAAAAAAAAUAACGACAAUUCGAUGGAAGAUGGCGAAGAAGAUUUCUUAGAUAUUCUUCUCAAACUUCAGAAGGAAAAUCAAUUUGGUUUUGAAUUUAGCAUAAAUGAUUUGAAAGCCGUAUUAUUGGUAAAAAACAAUUUUUUCCUUUUAAUAUCCAAAUUAAUUUUGGAAAUAUUAAUAAGAACUCUACUAAUGAUUAUUCAAUUGUUAUUUACAGGACUUAUUCCCCGGAGGAACGGAGACAACAUCCACAACGCUAGAGUGGGUAAUGUCUGAGUUGGUGAAAAAUCCUACCACUUUGAAGAAAGUGACAUCAGAGGUCAGACAAAAAAUUUCGAUAACUGAUGCAAAAACAGAUGAUUGCGAUAAUAAUUUUAGCAACGAGAUGGGUUACAUGCAAAAUGUUAUCAAAGAAACCUUUCGACUCCAUCCACCAGUACCGCUUCUUCUUCCUCAUGAAUCUAGAGAGAAAUGUCAAAUAAAAGGUUACGAUAUAGAAGAGAAGACAAGCGUCAUUGUAAAUGUUUGGGCAAUUGGAAGAGAUCCUAACAAAUGGAAAGAUUCAGAAAUAUUCAAACCAGAAAGGUUUAUUGGAAAUCCAAUCAAUUUCAAAGGAUCACAUUUUGAUUUAAUUCCAUUUGGUUCUGGGCGGAGAAUAUGUCCUGGUAUGACAUUUGGUCUGGCUAAUGUGGAACUUUCGCUUGCUACCCUUUUAUACAAUUUCGAUUGGAAAAUACCAAAUGAUGUUCCUGGAAAAGAUCUUGAUAUGGCUGAAAGUCUUAGAGGGACUCUUGGUAGAAAAAACCCACUCAUAUUGGUACCUGUAUUUCCUACUACUUAAUAAGUUAUUAUAGUAGAGUAAUUUUCAGGUGAGUCCAAAAAACAAUCAAGAUAAAUGAGCGUUUUUGGGCUCACGUUAGAUAGACUUUCUUGAACUUUCUUCUAUUAAAGUAUUAUAUCUAUUUGAAAUAUUUUGAAAAUCUCUUUAUGAGAAGUUUAACUCCAUUGCAGACUGCACGUCUUAAUUAUCAUUUCUGAAUAGUGUCUUAGAAAAAUAUUGUCUCUUCCGUACUCCAUUCGUAACCCGAUCCGUUCUCAUCCUUAUUGAAAUUUCAAAAGGAUCGAGUCUCACACGAGAUUCAGAUCCUGUCCAGUUAAAUAUCGGGUAUCCGGUUAUCGGAUCCAUGGGCAAAAUGGAUUUUAAAUGAUAAUCUAGUUUCUAUGCUAUUAUUUAAUAAAAAAGAAAUCUGUAAAGGUUUAUAUGCAAAAUGGCAGCCCACACAGGCCCAUUAAUACACGCAACUUGGAAGAAAACCCUUGGUCCGUUGCUAUAUAUGUAGUUAGUUGUUGCUUGCUUGUCCUUACUCUGGUUCUUUCUUCAGCGGCUCUUAUUUCUGUAUAUCUCAAUUCGUUUUUUUAUUAGUUAGAUCUAAUCUAUAGUUUUUGUUGUUGUUUAUUCCUGUGAUUUGCAUCCGUUCUAAAUACGAAUGUUCUCCUCAAAUCUGUUUCGUAUUUUUUUAUUUGGGGCGGAUUUGAAUGAUGCAUAGAUCUACGGUUUGAUUUAUCAACACAUUGUGAUAUCUUAAUUUGCAAUGCUGUCAAACGCUCAAUCUAUAUUCUUUCUUUGUUUGAUGAUGAUUAUUUUUACGAUGCAAUAUUUUAGUUCUGAUUAUUCGAUUUUGAUCUUUUUUUUUUAAUGUUUUAGAUGAUUUAUCGUUUGCUUUCGAUUGUCUGAUAUCUUUCUGUUCUAUCAAUUGCUUCUAAAUUUGAAUUUGCAAUACUAACAAAUACUGGAUCUUUAUUUCUUCUUGUAAUUCGAGCUUUGAUCAUUUAAUCCUUGCGAUUAAUUUCGUUUGUUCAUAUUUUUGAUUGAUUUUGAUAUUACACAACCUCCAAAAUAGGAGCUUAAUUAGAUUUAAACUUAAAAUGAUUCAUUAACAUUUAAAUAAUUACUAGAUUUAGAUAUUAUAAUUAGAGGUGAGCGACGACGGGAUCUUUAGAGUGUCAAACAACCCAAACUUUUGCUUAUAGAGGUAGUCUCGUGCUUGCUCGUUAAGAAAUUAUUCAGGCUCAAUCUUGGGCUUGCCGAGCUUGGUUUGGCUGAGCUCGGUCUCGGCUCGUUUUAAGAAUUGUUAGGCUCUGGUUCGAAUUAAAAAUAAUAAUUAUUUUUAGACAUUAAGGAUUGAACCUAUGACCUUUCAAAUACUGAACAAAAAUUUCACCAACCUACACCAUUAUUCUUUCUAACUAUUAUAUUUUUUUAAUUUUCCAUACUUCUUACCGUGGCUAUUGAGCUUAACGAUCCGAGCUUGACAUAUCCAAGCUUGAACUUGGCUCGUUAAGCUAAACAAGCUUGAAGAUUGGGCUCGUCUUGUUGGGUUUGCGAGCCUAAGCUUAAACGAGUCGGGCUUUUUUUGACACUUUAGCGAUCCUUGGUCAAAAAUCAGGGAGUCUCAAAGUCGUUCAUUGACCAUGGACGGGGAUCCUUGGUAGUAAUAUAUUUUUUUUUUAAACAAUAAUGUACUAAAUACUAAUGUUAUUACUUAAUACUUAUUAUUUACCAAAGUAAUUUAUUUAAAGUUAUGAAAUAAGAGUAUAAAAUAUUAUAAUUUAUAAUAAGAAUAUAAUAUUCCAAGUUUACAAUGUAGAAUAAAAAAGAUAUAAUAAAAUAUUGGAGAAAGAAGACAAAAAUGUAAUGGAAUCCUAGAGAAAAAAAAAUUGAAUGGAGAUAAAACUGUCAAAAAAAAAAAAAAAAAACAAAAAACAAAAAAAACAAAUGUAGUAUGAUAAAACUUCAUAUAGGCAAACAGCUUGCCUUACGGUUAAGAAGAAGUAGGAAUAAGAAAAAGAUGACGGUGAACUUGAUAAAAACUGUUCAGGAGACGUCGACGACAGCAAUGUGAUACCUUCCCAGAGUUUGGAAGGUUUCUGUCCACCGGAGAGGCUGAUCGGCGCUAGGGUUUUCCGUCCAAUCGCGUUUGGGGAAAACCGGAAUUAACUACCGGACGAAUUUUGUAAAAGAGAGAAAAAAGGGGGUGAAAAGGAAAAAUGUAAUUUUAGUUAAUCUUUUUUUAUAUUGAUUAACUCGUAAAAACAUUGAGUAAUCUUAAUUCUUAAUCACGUUUUAUUUAUACUAAUUACAAGACUGUUAACAGCUAAAACAAAUAACUAAUUUAACUCUAAUUUAUUUGGGCUGGAUCUUGAUUCGAGUCCGUUUGUGAUCCAAUCCGAUUAGCUGUAACAAUUCUGCACAAGUACACAAAAUUAUUAGUAAUGUCAAUCAGGUCUAUUUGACCAGAUUUAUUUUGUGUUAUUUGCAUAACAGUCCUCAAGUUAAUUAUAACUGAAUAAUUGAAACUUUUACGCUUCGAUCCUUGUAUUUCUGAAUCUUAGUUAUAUUACAAAAACCUUUAGUUUCUUUUAAUUACGCUUAGGUCCAACUAACGUUUAUUGAAACUUUUAUAAAUGAAACCUUGUUAUUUUAUAACAAAACAGUUAAUUCUGUUUUGUCAUAACCCUUAGGUUAUUUAUAUUACAUUUAAAUCCUAAGCUUGUUUCUAUGGUAAAUUGCUUAUUUACCCUGUAUUUCAGUUAUAUUCUUAUAGAACUACGGUAAGAAUAAAAACAACUAUUGCUAACUGCUAAGAACAAUGGUCCGGUGGCUACUUGGAGUUGAAGAUUAGGUACAAAAAUGCAGGUACCGGAUACGAAGAAUCUCGCCCCUAAAUAUAAUGACUGAGAAUUAAAUUUAUAAUCGGUCCAUUAGUUAAAUUUAAAUUAAUUUAUCUAUUUUCUGGUCAAACAAUUAUGGUUUCGUUUUAUAAUUAAAUUUUAUUUUUUACCCAUAUGUUGUUGAGAUUCAAUCUUGGCUCAUUGCUUAAGGUCUUAUUUCUUGGUUUGUUUUAUAAAUAAAAGUUUUGGAUUCUUAUCAGAAUUUUAUACCAACCAUCGAUUUCGCUGUACAUUUGUCAAAUUAAGUUUUUUUUUUAAUUCGUUAUUCGUUUAUAAGGCUAAGAUUAAUUUUUUUUGACAAAACUGGUUUAUUGAUAAUUGACCACUGAAUUAUUGAAUCGACAUUCUUAAUUGGCUUAUUAAUAUGCGGUAGGUGGUGAAAACUACGGUUGAUUUCAAUCACAUUAAUCUAAUCAGAUUAAAUUGACUCGAGUCUACUUAUUCUAGAUUCUCUUCGGUAGAAUAAACAUGAUAAACACUGAUGUCACAUGUGAAUGUGAUGUGAUGUCACUGAUGUCACAUUUAAAUCUUCUGAAUAUAAGACAUGUUUAUUUAAAUGUCAGAAUUUGACAAAUGUUAUUAUAGUUGAUUUAAUCAUGGCAUUUCCUAUUAUAAAUAGUUGAUGAGAUUAUAACCAUAUUAUUUAAUUCCAAUUCAAAUUCCACAAUUGCAAUGGAGUUCAAAUGCCCAUCAUUUCUAUUAUUUUUCUCUUUGUUUUUACCUUUGAUGAUUUUGAUGAUUUUGUUGAUUCUUAUCAAAAAGAAAAACAACAAAAGAUUGCCGCCAGGACCGACGAAGCUUCCUAUCAUUGGGAAUCUCCAUAACCUAAUUUUUGCAGGUGACGAUCAUCUUCCACGUAUGUUUGGGGAGCUCGCAAAGAAGCAUGGCACGUUUAUGCAUUUAAAAUUCGGUCAAAUCUCUCAAGUUGUCGUCUCUUCAUCCGAUCUUGCAAAAGAGUUUCUUAAGACUCAUGACAUCAACUUUUCUUCUCGACAAGAUAUAUUCACAUCUAGACUUCUCAUGUACAACAAUCGUGAUGUUGUAUUUGCACCUUAUGGUGAAUACUGGAGACAGAUGAGAAAAAUCGUCACUCUCGAACUUCUCAGUGCGAAAAAGGUGAAGUCUUUUAACAGGUUAAGGAGAGAGGAAAUGGUCAAAAUGAUGGAUAUUCUCACCAAAGCUGCAAGGAAUGGCACAUCGGUCAAUUUAAGUGAAAUGUUUCUUAUUCUCAACAACAACAUCUCCACUCGUUCUAUGUUUGGUGACAACCUUAGACAUCAGACGGUAUUUCUGGAUGCUAUGAAGGAAGUAGUUGUUCUUGCUACUAGUUCCAAUUUUAGCAAUUUCUUUCCUCUUUUGGAAAAUUUCUCUGGUUGGUUGACAGGUAUGAAACUUAAGGUAGAGAAGACGCACAAGAUAAUCGACAAAAUACUUAAUACAAUCAUUGAUGAACAUCUUGGUAAAAUAAAUAACGACAAUUCGAUGGAAGAUGGCGAAGAAGAUUUUUUAGAUAUUCUUCUCAAACUUCAGAAGGAAAAUCAAUUUGGUUUUGAAUUUAGUAUGAAUGAUUUGAAGGCGGUGUUUUUGGUAAAAAAAAAGAAUAUUUUUCUUUAUUAAUAUCCAAGAAAAUAUUAAUAAGAACUCUACUAACGAUUAUUCCAUUGCUAUUUUGCAGGACUUGUUUAUUGGAGGAACAGAGACAACAUCCACAACGCUAGAGUGGAUAAUCUCCGAGUUGGUUAAAAAUCCUACCACUUUGAAGAAAGUGACAUCAGAGGUCAGACAAAAAUUUUCGAUAACUGAUUCAAAAACAGAUGACUAUGAUAAUAAUUUUAGCAAAGAGAUGGGUUAUAUGCAAAAUGUUAUCAAAGAAAGCUUUCGACUCCAUCCACCAUCACCGCUUCUUAUUCCUCAUGAAUCUAGAGAGAAAUGUCAAAUAAAAGGUUACGAUAUAGAAGAGAAGACAAGCGUCAUAGUAAAUGUUUGGGCGAUAGGAAGAGAUCCUAACAAAUGGAAAGAUCCAGAAAUAUUCAAACCAGAGAGGUUUAUUGGAAAUCCAAUUGAUUUCAAAGGAUCACAUUUUGAUUUAAUUCCAUUUGGUUCUGGGCGGAGAAUAUGUCCUGGUAUGACAUUUGGUCUUGCUAAUGUGGAACUUUCGCUUGCUACCCUCUUAUACCAUUUCGAUUGGAAAAUACCAAAUGAUCUUCCUGGAAAAGAUCUUGAUAUGGCUGAAGGUUUUAGAGGGACUCUUGGUAGAAAAAAUCCACUCAUAUUGGUACCUGUAUUUCCUACUACUUAAUAUAGUAUUUUGUAAGUUCUUAUAGUAAGGCAAUUUUCAUGUUAGUCAAAAAUGUCCUGAUCAUUCUGAUCAUCCAUUGUUUCAUCUUCAUAUUUUCUAUUACAAACAGUUGUGAGAAUAAAUGAUAUUUGUAAAAUUUUAGACGGUCAAAAUAAACAAGUGUUUUUGAGCUCACAUUAUAUAAACUUUCCUGAACUUUUUAUUAUUAUAAUAUUAUGUCUAUUAGAAAUAUUUUAAAAAUCCCUUUAUGAUGAGAAGUUGAACUUCAUUGCAGUUAUCUCUGCUAGUCAUAAUUAUCAUUUCCUAACAGAGUCUUAAGAAAAAAUUAUCUUGUCCGUACUUUAUUCAUGAUCCGAUCCGUUCUCACCCUUAUUGAAAUUUCAGAAGGAUCGGGUCUUACAUGAGAUGCAGAUCCUGUCCAGCAAAUAUCGGGUAUCCGGUUAUGAUGAGAAUGUUCUGUGAGAACUAUUUGAGAACCAUUGAAUUGUCUGUGAUCAUUUUGUAAUCAUUCAUUGGUGAAGUACUAUUUUACAUCAUUCAAUGACAUAACUGCAACACUACGUACUAAGAACUUCGAACAGACGGGAGGAUACCGUCUGUCCAAAAUUCCUCCGGUGUUUUACUCUCUUCAUUGGCCAUCUAUAUGCCUCUUACCAACAUUCGAAACCAAUUCUAUCCCUACCUCUGUCUUCCUCUCUACCUUUUUAGUCUUCACCGGUCUUUUAUUUUCAAAACUUUUUUUAUCCCUUCCUCCGAAUCCGGCGAUGUCGAAUGCUAGCGGCGCUCGUGAUGGGAAGGUCCGAGCCAGAGCAAAGUCAUCCCCGUUGAGAUUAGACGCGACGGCGUCUCUAUUUUUAUAGGUUCACUUUGGGCAUCUUUUUCUUCUUCUUCCUCUGAUCCUCUUCCGUGUUGGCUUCUCAAAUAAGAAGUUGUUUUUCUAGAUUAUGCUUGUUCUUCCAUGUUGGGUUGUGAAAUAUUUUGCACUCCAUGUUGGGUUUGUAAUCUUUUUUCUUCCUCUAUUUCUCCCAUUCUCACCCUCUGUAAUUUCUGACUGCCAUGGAUCGUAGUUUUUUUUCUUUUAUUUCUUCUUCCUCUUCCGUGUUGGGUUCCUUAAUAAAAAAGUUGAGCUUCUAGAUUUUUCUCUUUCUACCAUGUAUGUUUCAUUGUCGAACAAUUAGAUGUCGGUUUUGGGUUGUGUAAUAUUUUUUCUUCCUCUAUUUCUCCCAUUCUUUUUUUUGUCCAGAUUAACUCCGGUUCUGUUCUGCUAUUGCCGGCCUCAGCAUUACCGGAGUUGGCAUCACUUAUGGAAGAACCUCCGCUGGAAUUGGAUCGAUGUUCAUCUGUUAAGAAGAAAACUUGAUGUCUCGUGCUUCGAUCACCGUUGUUUUCUUCCAAUGCGAAGAAUCUGUUGACUGCGGAGGUUGUUCCGUCUCUUCAUAUUAUUGCAUUUUCUCUAUGAAAUGGGCUAUGAAAUUUUAUUUUAUUUUCUCUUUAAUUUUAUUUUAUUUUAUUUUAUUUUUUCUUUGAUUUUAUUUUCAAUUAUCAAUAUUGGAUAACAAAAUAAAUUAGGUGCGCAUUUUCUGAGAGUGCGAAGGCAUUCCAGCCUUUGAUUUUACCGUAAGAAAUUUGCGUCACACAUUUUUUUUGCAACCUUAUGGGUUGCGUCAGUUUGCAACCCACGUUGUGUUGUUUUAUUUUUUUUAAAUUUUUUUUUGUUCUUUUCUUUCUUCCACCUACCUUCUAUUCUUUUUAUUUUAUUUUUUCUCUUUGUUUUUUUUUCUGACCAUCUUGUCAUCAUUAAAUGUUUUUAACAUCCAUCAUCCAUCUUCUCCUCCAUUUAUGUCUCCAUCGUCCUUGUCUUCAUUUUUUUUUUGAUGGUGUUAAUAUCCUAGUAAUGUAAUGCUACAUGUUUUAUCGUUAAUGCUGAAAAUUCGAAAAUAUUUCAAAUCGUUUUAUUUUCUUAUCUUACAUCUUCUAUCAUUUUAUUCUUUACUCAUCUUCAACCUUCUUUCCAUCUCAAGUUCUUCACAGAGCACUAUAUCUUCAUCUCAUUUUCUCCCUUCAAUCUUGGAUACGGUUUUCGGUCUUCUUCUUCUUUGGUUAUAUUUAUUUAUAACAUCAAAGUAUGUUUCAAAAUUCAUUAAAUGUUAUUGAUCAAUCAUCACCUUUACAACAACCUAACAUUGAGCCCCAAAGCACCAUUCAUUUCUCUCAUAAUUCCUCCUCUAUAUAUAUAUAUCACACCUCCCUCAUAUCGUCCCCUUCAUGCCCAACCAUUGAUUCCACCACACAUCGUCCUAGACAUCAGUAUAAUGUUAAUCUUGAUUUUUACUCUAUCCAAACCGAAAAACCAUCUGAUUGUAAUCGUAAUGAAACUCAUGGAAAUGUUCAAUGUUCAAGAAUCAUUGAUUUCCCACUUAUUCCUAAUGCUAAUUAUGUUUCUCAUCAAUACCAUGACACUCUAUUAAACAAGCUGUAUACUCCUAUUUCUUCAGAGAAUAAUGAUGUCACUGGACUAUCUAAUCCUAUUAAUUCUACCGACAAUGCUUCUCCUAGUUUUUUCGUUCCCAAACAACCCAUUGAUACCAAUUCUUCUUCAGACAAUUUUAAAGUGAAUUCAACACCCUUUUCUGGUCAAAUUUUUUCCUCAUAUUCUGAUGCUAUUGAUCAAUAUUAUGGUUAUGCGUCGAAAAUGGGUUUCUCCGUUCGUUUGGGUUCCACGAACUAUAAAUCUAGUAAGGAUGAUGGUAAAAAAAAUUUAGUUAUAGGCCAAGAUAUCAUUACUGCUUGUAACCUACCUACUAAUGCUAUUAGUACUAGGUCAUGUUGUAAAUGAACGAACGAGACGCUUCUACGACUGGUCGUAAUGCUAUUAUGUGUGUGCUCAAUGAACAUAGGUCAAGAUAUCCUUACUGCUUCUAACCUACCUACUAAUGUUAUUACUACUUGGUAAUGUUGCAAAUGAACGACUGAGAUGUUUCUACGACUGUUUGUAAUGCUAUUAUGUGUGUGCUCAAUGAACAUAGGUCAAGAUAUCCUUACUACUUGUCACCUACUUACUAAUGCUAUUACUACUUGAUAAUAUUGUAAAUGAACGAACAAGAUGCUACUACGAAUGGCCGUAAUGCUAUUAUAUCUGUGUUCAAUGAACAUAGGCCAAGAUAUUCUUACUACUGCUUGUAACCUACCUUCUAAUGCUAUUAUUACUUGAUUAUUUGUAAAUAACGAAGGAGAUGCUUCUACGACUGUUUUGGUGAGACAUGCCUGAUUACACCAGUCACUACCCAUCAACGCCUCUCAACAAGGACUAGGGCUCCGUCGCUAUGGCAGGACCCCCGGAGAGCUCCCACGGUGCGGAACAUCGUUCUUCGUCCAGAUCGCCGAGUUAGCCCGUAAGUCGCCCGAUUGGACUACCAAGUCGCCGACAUACAGGAUAACUCGCCGAGUUAAGGCAAGAUCGGCAGUAUGGUAGACUGUACGACUUGGCCCUAGAAACUCGCCGAGUUAGCCCUUAACUAGGCGACUUCCAUACCUGAAUCGGCGACUUACGACCGUUACUCGGCGGCAGCCAACGUCAUAAAUGUUACCAUAUAUGACCAUAGGCGCGAUCUCCGCCGAUGAGUGCGCCCUCCGAGACCCUAUAAAAGGGGUCUCAAGGGGACACUCAAAGGCACGAUUCAAGUUCCACUCUCACACCAGAGCACUACACUACGAAACUCGGCGAGUCUCAUUAGAAUCGCCUAGUUUCACUUGCAGGUAUUUUGACGUAGAGCGUGCGUCGUGGACUCCAAAGCCUCCAGCAUCAACCUCGCACCACCGCGAACCCUGGUAGCAGAUUCAGUGCUUCAUCAGCUAGCGCCGUCUGUGGGACUACCGAACCACCGGUAUCCUGUCGUAAUCGUGAUUUUUUAAAAAUCCGGCUCGAGCUCUCCCGAGAGUUCGCCGAGUUUGUCAAAAAAUCGCCGACAUAGAUCGUCCGAUUCUCGGUUAACGUCCGAUUUAGCCUUAAAUCGCCGACUUAUCCUUGAGAAUCGCCCGAUCCGGAAUAUCGUCUGCUAGCUAAGAGUGCUGUCCAUGACCUUGUUCGGAAAACACCUAACUUGCCGAGUUAACACUUAACUCGCCGACUUAGCUCCCGUUUUUUCAACAGGCUCGGUCAGGUACCUCUCUGCUUUGGUACUUCUUUGCUUCCGCUUUCAUGGCAAUCAUCGAAAAGCAGAAGCACCCUUACGCAACAAGGAGUAAGGGAAAAAUGUCAGCAACUGAGCUGGAACAGGGUGAGCAAUCCCCAACUAAGAGACCCAAUGCUCAACCUGUGGAAACAAACUCGGUUCCUCCUCCUGUCGAGGAACAUAUUGUGCCCAAGGCUCCACCCACCUUGGAGGAAAGGUUGUUCAGCUUCAUGGACAACAUCGAAAGAAGGAUGACCAACCUCGAGCAAGCGAGGAAUCAUAGGACCACCACCAUCAGUGAAAGAGCGGAUGAGUCUGGGUCCAUCUAUUCUCCAUCUGGGGAGAAAAAACAGAGUUCCCGUCCCAAGACGAGACCCAGUAAGAGUCGCUCCGAGAGGACUCUUACUACUCGGUUCGUAGAGGAUCUUCGGCGGAAGUUGGCCACCGACCCAGCCGUCGGCAACCUGCACGAAGUCCUAAGGGUUAAAAGUGCUCCUCUUAGCGAGGACCUUUUAAAGGGAGUUUUCCCACCCAACUGGUGGGUACCAAGAAUCGAGGCGUACGACGGUUCAAGUGAUCCAGAAGAUCACGUGAACCUCUACCUCAACAUCUUGGAACCGCAAACCAUCGAUGAUGGGCUGCUGUGUCGGGCAUUCCCUGGCACUCUCAAGGGCAGCGCUUAUCGAUGGUUCUCUGGUCUGCCAGCUGGCUCAGUCACCAGCUUUGCAGACCUCUCAUCCAAAUUCAUCGCCCAGCACGUGGGGAUGAUAAGGAUAAAACAUAGUGCCAACGCACUCCUGGCACUGAGACAGGACAAAAUGUCUCUGAGGGAUUACACGGUCAAGUUCACCACUAUGAUGACAGAGGUGAACAACCUAAUCCCGAGUGUGGCCAUAGUGGGAUAUAUUAGAGGAUUAGUCCCCUACUCCCCUCUGGCCCAAAAUCUGACUCUCUACAAGGUGAGUUCUCUGCCCGACCUCUUCCAACGCGCUCAAUUGUACAUUGAGGUGGAAGAGGAGGAUGAGAACAAGCUAGCUGAACAUGGGACUCCUAGCUAUAAAAAGCCUAAGUAUGAGAGGAAGGGGUAUAGCGGAAACAACAAUUUCCGCGACACCUCUAACAGGUAUACCAGUAACAAGGCCGAGCCUUCCAAAAAAGAAUGGAAGCCUAGGCAUGAUAACAAGGUAUACCAGACCUCAACCAGCAAACCGUCUAAGGGUGCAAUUCCACUAUGGAAAAAGAACACCCCGCUUAUAAUAAGCAAGGGCGAGCUGUUUGAGAAACUAAAGGGUCGAGCGGACCUACCUGUCCCUCGCUCUUUAGACCCUACAGGCAAAGAGGGCCGCAUGCAAUCUGGGAAAUACUGUGAAUUUCACAAAGACUGCGGCCACUUAACAGACCACUGUAGGGAGUUCUCGACUUUCGUCGAGCAGCUGAUCUCUAAGAGUGAACUUGGCAACUUCGUCAAGAAAUCCCGAGGAAGGGACAACUGCAAAUCUGACCCAAAGGGGAAGCUUCCACGCACUCCUUCGCCAGAUAGCGACAACAGCGAGAACCGCCAGCGGAAGACCAUCAAUAUGAUAUUUGGUGGUGGAUCCGUUGGCCAGAAUAGGGGGUACUCCCGAAAGGUGCUGAUGUCACAAUCAACACCUCGAGACAACGGAAAGCGGGUCCGCGAGGAGAAGUCAAUAUACUUCUUCGAAGAGGACCUGGACGAUGUCUUGCAGCCUCACGAGGAUCCACUCGUGAUCCAAGCAGACAUCGGGCCUAAUUCCCGAGUCGAGAGGAUGAUUGUCGAUAGCGCAGCUCUGCGGAUAUCCUCUACAUGGAUACUUUUACCAAGAUGGGCCUUAAAAGGGAGGAACUAUCUCCCUGUAAGGAAGCCAUCUACGGUUUCACUAACAUCGCCGCCCCAGUUGCCGGUGUUAUUGACCUAAAGGUAUCCAUCGGUUCCAAGCGAGGAAGGGUUAGCCGAACAUGCCGCUUCAUAGUAGUAGAGGUAGAAUCUACUUUCCAUGGUAUUUUCGGACGCCCCUUCAUCCACGGAAUCCAAGCAGUCCCGUCUUCUUAUCACCAGUGCAUUCAAUACCCAGUAAACGGGUUCGUUGCAACUGUCAAAGGAUCACAAAAAGAUUCUAGACAAGGGUAUAAGAAGGCAACCCAGCUGACUAAACUCGACAACAUGCUCGUCCACGCCCCGCCUAACACUGAGGAGAGGGAAAAACUACAACCUGUGGACGAGACCGAGGUAUACCAGCUGGUGGGGGGACAUGUGGCACUAGGGAAGGGGUUACCCCCUAACCUAAAAGCCAAGCUUGUGACUGUCCUGGAGGAGCACCAGGACAGCUUCGUUUGGGAGGGUGAGGCACCGACACAGAUUGCGCGUCAGAUCGUGACGCACAAACUAAAUGUCGACUCAUCCAUUCCAGCUCGACGCCAAAAACGUCGAGUACUCACUUCUGACAGGCGGGAGGCAGCCAAUGAGGAAAUAUCGAAACUCUUGAAUGCAGGGCACAUUCGGGAAGUUCGAUACCCGACUUGGUUGGCCAACCCCGUUCUGGUCAAGAAUCCCAAUAGCAAAUGGCGCAUGUGCAUUGAUUUCACGGAUCUCAAUAAAGCAUGCCCCAAGNNNNNNNNNNNNNNNNNNNNNNNNNNNNNNNNNNNNNNNNNNNNNNNNNNNNNNNNNNNNNNNNNNNNNNNNNNNNNNNNNNNNNNNNNNNNNNNNNNNNNNNNNNNNNNNNNNNNNNNNNNNNNNNNNNNNNNNNNNNNNNNNNNNNNNNNNNNNNNNNNNNNNNNNNNNNNNNNNNNNNNNNNNNNNNNNNNNNNNNNNNNNNNNNNNNNNNNNNNNNNNNNNNNNNNNNNNNNNNNNNNNNNNNNNNNNNNNNNNNNNNNNNNNNNNNNNNNNNNNNNNNNNNNNNNNNNNNNNNNNNNNNNNNNNNNNNNNNNNNNNNNNNNNNNNNNNNNNNNNNNNNNNNNNNNNNNNNNNNNNNNNNNNNNNNNNNNNNNNNNNNNNNNNNNNNNNNNNNNNNNNNNNNNNNNNNNNNNNNNNNNNNNNNNNNNNNNNNNNNNNNNNNNNNNNNNNNNNNNNNNNNNNNNNNNNNNNNNNNNNNNNNNNNNNNNNNNNNNNNNNNNNNNNNNNNNNNNNNNNNNNNNNNNNNNNNNNNNNNNNNNNNNNNNNNNNNNNNNNNNNNNNNNNNNNNNNNNNNNNNNNNNNNNNNNNNNNNNNNNNNNNNNNNNNNNNNNNNNNNNNNNNNNNNNNNNNNNNNNNNNNNNNNNNNNNNNNNNNNNNNNNNNNNNNNNNNNNNNNNNNNNNNNNNNNNNNNNNNNNNNNNNNNNNNNNNNNNNNNNNNNNNNNNNNNNNNNNNNNNNNNNNNNNNNNNNNNNNNNNNNNNNNNNNNNNNNNNNNNNNNNNNNNNNNNNNNNNNNNNNNNNNNNNNNNNNNNNNNNNNNNNNNNNNNNNNNNNNNNNNNNNNNNNNNNNNNNNNNNNNNNNNNNNNNNNNNNNNNNNNNNNNNNNNNNNNNNNNNNNNNNNNNNNNNNNNNNNNNNNNNNNNNNNNNNNNNNNNNNNNNNNNNNNNNNNNNNNNNNNNNNNNNNNNNNNNNNNNNNNNNNNNNNNNNNNNNNNNNNNNNNNNNNNNNNNNNNNNNNNNNNNNNNNNNNNNNNNNNNNNNNNNNNNNNNNNNNNNNNNNNNNNNNNNNNNNNNNNNNNNNNNNNNNNNNNNNNNNNNNNNNNNNNNNNNNNNNNNNNNNNNNNNNNNNNGUAAAAAUCCAUAGCCCGGAUGGAAAAAACUACGAACACUCGGUCCGACUUCACUUCCCGGCUUCUAACAACGUCGCGGAAUAUGAAGCGGCCAUACAUGGCCUGAAGCUGCUAAGAACUCUCGGCGCUGAGAAUGUCACGCUCCGCACUGACUCCCAGCUCGUGGCUCGGCAAACCACUGGUUAAUUUGCUUGUAAGGAACCACAAAUAACAAAGUAUGUGGAAGCAAUGGUAGAUCUCACCAAACAAUUCGCCGAGUUCAAAAUCGAGCAAAUCCUUCGAAUUCAAAAUUUACCCGCUGACGCUUUAGCACGUCUAGCGUCAGCUUGGGAGGGAGGACAGCGCGAGAUUUUAGUGGACUCUAUACUGCAGCCCACAUGCCAAGUAUUGGCUGUCACUUCCGACCCUCAAGAGGAUUGGAGGCAACCAAUACUGGCGUUCAUCCAGAAUGGAGUGCUUCCUAACAACAAAGGGGAGGCCAAAAAAUUAAAACACAGAGCAGCAAAAUACUGUGAUGUCGGAGGGGUACUUUACAAAAAGUCCUUCGAUAGUCCUUUGCUACGCUGUUUGGCCCAACCCGAUACUAGUAGGGUUCUCCAGGAAGUACAUGAAGGCUCAUGCGGACUCCAUGAAGGGGGAAGAGCAUUAGCCUUCAAAAUCAUAAGGCUCGGGUACUAUUGGCCCACCUUAAGGUUGGAAGCUCGCACUUACGUCCGCAAGUGCCGAGCAUGUCAGCUGCACAGCCCUAUGCAGCAGAAACCAUCCGCGGAAAUGACUCCGAUCCUGAGCUCAAUCCCAUUCGCAAGAUGGGGGUUGGACAUCGUAGGGCCAUUCCCCCCCUCUACAUCACAGGCUCGAUUCAUCUUUGUAGCAGUAGACUACUUUACAAAAUGGGUCGAGGCUCAGGCUGUGGCGAAAAUCACUCAGGAUGCGGCAGUCAAAUUUAUUUAUCGCUCCAUAGUCUGUCGAUUCGGCAUUCCCCAAGACAUUGUCACGGACAAUGGCUCACAGUUCACGGGGGGAAAAUUUUCAAGAAUGUGCGAGGACCUAAACAUAAAGCUCCACUUCGCCUCCGUUUACCGACCUCAGGCAAACGGGCAAGUGGAGGUCACCAACAAGGCCAUCGUACAAGGAUUGAAAAAGAAAAUUGAAUCAGCCAAAGGGGCCUGGGCGGACAAGUUGUGCGAAAUCCUAUGGGCAUAUCGCACAACGAGUAAAAACCCCACGGGCAACACCCCUUUUGCCAUGACCUAUGGAGUGGAAGUAGUCGUACCAAUCAAGAUGAGUAUACCAACGUAUCGAGUCUCGAAGUACGACCAACAAGUAAAUGACCAAAACCUAGCCGCAGAGCUAGAGCUAAGGGAUGAAACCCGUGACGAGGCAGACCUGCGAAACGAAUCGUACAAGGCUAGCGUAUCAAGAUACCACAACCGCCAAGUACGCAAAAAAGUUUUCCUGCCAGGAACUCUCGUCACGCGGAAGGCUAGCAUAACAGAAAGGAAUAGGCCAAGAAAUAAACUAUCUUCCAACUUCGAAGGUCCCUACAUCGUUGAGGAGGAGAUAAGGCCAGGAACUUAUCGUCUACGACGGCAGGAUGGAACAAUGGUUCCUAACACCUGGCAUGCGGACAACAUGCAGCAGUACUACGCAUAGUACUCACAAGCAUCAAGUUUAUUUUCUUUAGCUUUCCUAGUAUGUAUGUUAGUUAGUGAUAAAAUAUAGUUACGCAUUCUAACCCGUAUGGAUACCCUAAAUCUAUUGUGUCGCUUUGGCCUCAAUAGAAUAAAGAUCAUUCCGUCGCUACGGCCCUAAUGAUCCUAUCCAAUCCUGUCGCUAAAGAGCCUUGAUAUGGAUCAAUAAGUCGCUAAAGAGCCUUGAUAUGGAUCAAUAAGUCACUCCCUCACUAGGAGUCGGACUAAAUCGUCAAAGGUUCAAAUCCAGGGUUAGAACAAAUAGGUCCAACUCAGACACGCGUUGCGACCACAAUUCUUAUUCGCACGAGCGAAUCAAGAACUAGUGGACAUCAAACCACUUUCUCCUAUCGAACUUAGCUACGAUUCAUACGACCAAACUUACGUCCUAAGUGGCUAAGAAUCUAACUUACGUCCAAAAGCGACUAAGUUACGAUUUGGGAAGUCAAGUUUUUCCAAACUCACGUCCUAAGUGACUAAAAUUCUAACUUACGUCCAAAAGCGACUAAGUUACGAUUUGAGAAUCUAGUUUAAGUUCAACUAAACCUACGUCCUAAGUGGCUAAGUAAAGUUGAAGGAAUCUAACUUACGUCCAAAAGCGACUAAGUUACGAUUUAUGAUUUUAGUUUAGAUCCAACUACGAUUCGCACGACUAAACCUAUGUCCUAAGAAUCUAAAUUACGUCGAAAGCAACUAAGUUACGAUUUAUGAAUCUAGUUAACUCUAAAAACACAUUAGCAAAAAAGGUGAUUUCAUUAACACAAAAGAUGAAAUUACAUAAUCCACUACAAAAUUUUAAGAAGAGAAACUAGUUCUAUCCUAAUCCUCUUCUUUCCUCGCGUUACGAACAUCGCUCUUGAUCUUAUCUAAAGCUUCCUUGUGCUCUAGCUGCACUUCGGGAUGUUCCUCCAGCCACGCCAUAAUAUCUGAAAUGUAGUUGGCAGGCAGAGUGGUAAAAACAUGAGGUCCGAAAAAGUUCACGUCUUGGAGUUGAUCGGAUUGACCAUCAACUUCGAACUCCAAGUUCUUCACUUUUUCGGAAGAAGCGUCCAGAGCUUCCUUCAUCUUCUUCAACUUCUCCGUGGAUCGAGAGAAGCGAUCUUCCAAAUCUAUACGAGCGGAAGCGGAAUCAGACAGUUCAACUUUCAAUUUCUGAAUCUCAGUUUCAGAAAUCAUUGCAUUCCCCACUUCCACAUCAAGCUGCGUCUUCAGUGCAUCAACUUGUUUUCUAGCAGCAGUGAGAAGCGACUCAUUAUCUUUCAUAAAGUCACAGCUUCGGCGAAGAUCAGAAAUCUCAGAUCGGUGCACAUCGCACUCUUUGUUCUUCGCCGCCAUCGCUUUCUCGUGCUCGGCAGCUUGUUCCUCCAACUUCUUAUUCCGUUGGAGGGUCUUUCUCAACGACCACACCUCUUUGCAGACAGCUUGAUACUUGUCAUCAAGCUUAUUGUACUCCUGUUGGGAACGGAGGGUGUCGUUUGCAGACUGCAUCCCAAUAGUUGCAUUAGACAGAUACGCGACCUACAAAAAAACUAUCAAUUAGUAAAAUAAAAUGAAACAAAUAUAAAUGGAAAGCGAUUGCGAAUCACUUACAACAGAUAUAGCUUUUCCAAGCUCUUCGCGUAUCCAGUCCCCAGGCUUAGUCUGAAGCAGCUGGGCAGCCUUCCUCCGCACCCCUUCAUCGGCAAACAAGCCCGGAUAGUCAAAUGUGGUGCGAAAGGGGGCGGAUUCAGGUGCAGACCUCGAGCUAGAUCCAGUCUCGAAGGUACUGCGAGGGCCAGUCUCUUGGGCCUUCCUUUCUCUGAUCAGCUUGGCGCCGCGAAGUCUCACGGCCAAGUGUGGAAGCACCGCCUCUCGGUACAGAUGUGCACCCUUCUUCUUCUUGAUUGGAUUUCCAGAAGGGUCCUCUGACCGGUUGUAGCGUGUCACGUCAGAAAAUGUAAAGUCCUCUCGCUGACACAAAGCGAAAUGAACUCCUUGCCCACAUUCAAAAGAAGCGAGGGCAGAAGAGAUCUUCUUCACCCGCUUCAAUUCUGCCUUGCUUAGGGCGCAAGGAACGUCCAGGUGUACGCGGCGAGCGUUGGCCCACCUCUCACGGCUCCCGCAUACAAAUGUAGAUUCAACAAAAAAGAACUCACUCUUCCACUGGGGCCCAUAGUUAGUGGGGAGUUCAAUUAUCAGCUCUUGUCCGCUGAACCGCUUUGCUAGCCCCAACCGACCAGAUUCGGAAGCGGGCGCCUUCACAAACUUGAAAAACCAGAAGAAUAAGGGGCGGUCGCGGGUAUGUUCAGACUCCAACAGAUGUUGGAGAAUCCUCUCAGAUAUACAAAAAAAGCUGCCUGCAUCUGCGACAGCGACACCCCACCAUGCAGCAACACUUCGCUCAUCAGUGGAGGAAUGGGCAGCAUGGAGAAGUGUCUGAAGUAUAGACGGGGAAUGGCUUGGAAUCCGACGGGAGGCAGAUUCGCUGGCUGAUAUUGCGAUCCCCAGAAUCGCAGAUGCCCAGAUAUGCGAAUCCCGCGCAGAAUCUCACGGGCUUCAAGUGCUGAAGUUAUGGAGAAUGGAUGCGCAGUCUCGUUCUGAGGCACGAGAGGCGCAUUGACAGAAACUUCUGCGAAAGACCCCUCGUCAGUAUCACAGAGGGGUAACAUCCUGAUCUCACCACCCGGCAGAGCUUCACAGUGUGCGUAGCCGGUGUGGUUCUCAACUCCCUCGUAAAACGGGAGGUUUAUAUGAUCUCCGUCCUUAUCCAUUUCCAUAGGAGGAGGAGGAGUGUUCGAUCUGUCAUCGCAGCUUCGGCUCGGGCCGCGUACAAUUGGAAUGUCCUGAGUAUAGUCAAAGGGCUCAGGCACCCUUACAUCCUCCGCAGAGGGGAAGUGUAUCUUUCCUCGGCCACCCAUCCCAUAAAUGUGAUGAAUGGGGGCACUUGUACUGGCAGGCUUGUCGGAAGAAUCCCUAGCAUGCUUAGGGUGCUUCCUCUUUCUUUUCUUUGGCCUCUCAGAUUCAUCAUCCGGCCUAUCCACAUCCACCACCUCAACAGGUGGAAAGUCCUCAAUCUCAGCCCCCGAGUUUAGGGGCAACAUCGGCGAUUUAGGAGCUGAACUCGCCGAUGUUGGUAGGGAACUCGCCGAUCCGAGUUGAAUUACUCGGCGAGGUUUCCUAAACAUGGGGACGACCCCCUUGCCUUUGGCCGGCGACUUCCCAAGGGGACUCGCCGACUUAGCUGCAAGAGUCGGGGGGAUCUCACCCAGUUCAACAGUAGGCUCUACCACGAUAAGAGCCCUCGAGUUAUCCGUCAAACUCGCCGAGUUCUUUUGGGAACUCGGCGAGCCUUCCGGAGUUAGCCCGAGCAACUCGCGGGCAGUAGCCAAAAACCUGACGUCUUGCGGCGCGUCGACAACCGGAAUCUCCGACCCACCGCGCGAAGGCGAGGGAAUCGGAGACUCGACGGUGUCGAGCACCCCCGUCAGGCCUUCGUCUAUAUCCUCGUUCAAUAUGUCGACGACCAGAGCUUCGGUCUCUGACAUGGUAAGUCUAGGCAAUGACGGUUGGUCUGCCAUAUAUCGGCGAUAUAGGUGUAGACUCGGCGACUUUGGAAAGAGUUCUGGUGAUUGUAGUAAAAGUCGGCGAGUUAUGAAGAACCUCGGCGACUUAGAAAGGGAUUAGGGUUUAAGAAAAAUCAAGGUAAGUGGAGUGCGGAUUAAAAUAGCCGACUCUCUAUUUAUAGACCUUGGGCAAAUUGCAAAAAUUCCCCGGAGAAUCUACAAAUUACGCGAAGAAAAAUCGCUAAUUGAUCUCCAAAUCCGCAAACUCGGCGAGUCUCUCGAAAACUCGCCGAGUUUGAGCACAAAUCAAGGGAUACCAGGAGGAAAUUUCCAUACUUGGAAAAUUUGCAAAUAUUUCCCAAGAUCCUAAGGAUUCUCGAAGAGAUCCGCCAGCUCAUACUAAGACUCGCCGAGUUUAUAGGAAAAUCGCCGAUCCAGGUCAGCAAACCUCCAGACUUCUCAAAAAAUAUUACCAAUGCUAAGUCGGCGAGUUAGCACCUUAAGUCGCCUACUUAGGAUACAUACAGUAUCUUAGGGGGAAAAUCGCAAGCCCCCUUCCACAACCUCAGGGGGGAGUAUCACAAGCUCUCCCGACAUUUCUAUCGCUUUGGCUAGAGAUCGUCGAACUUCAGGGGGGAGUAUCACAAACUCUCCCGAUUUUUCUGUCGCUCCGGCCGGAAAUUGUCAAACCUCAGGGGGAGUAUCACAAACUCUCCUGACUUUUCUGUCGCUUCGGCCGGAAAUAGUCAAAAUUCGGGGGGGAGUAUCACAAGCUCUCCCGAUUUAGGGGGAAAAUCACAAGCCCCCUCCCACAACCUCAGGGGGGAGUAUCACAAACUCUCCCGACUUUUCUGUCGCUCCGGCCGGAAAUUGUCAAAAUUCAGGGGGGAGUAUCGCAAACUCUCCCGACUUUUCUGUCGCUCCGGCCGGAAAUUGUCAAACAUCAGGGGGGAGUAUCGCAAACUCUCCUGACUUUUCUGUCGCUUCGGCCGGAAAUAGUCAAAAUUCGGGGGGGAGUAUCACAAGCUCUCCCGACAUUUCUAUCGCUUUGGCUAGAGAUUGUCACCACUCAGGGGGGAGUAUCACAAGCUCUCCCGACACUUCUGUCGCUCUGGCCAGAAGUCGUUAUACAUAAACAUGGUCAGUCUGUCGCUUCGGCCAGAUUCACCAAGGAUUGGCUAAAGUAAGGAAAAGAGUAUCGCAAGAGGUAUUUUCGGUCAAUAAACAUAUGCGUUCUCAGACUGAUCUAGUUGUUUUGCAGGAUAUUUUCUUUUGUUAUUUUGCAGGUAAUAUUUUGUUUGGCCAGAAUAUUUUUUCUUUUUUGCAGGUAUUAUUCAGUCGCUUUGGCCAGAAUAAGACUCUAAUAGUGAGUCUAAGUAUCUUGUCGCAUUCUGCCUUGGUACACUAGAGAUCGUUCUGUCACUUUAGCCUUAACGAUUCUCAACCCAUCUUGUCGCUGAAAAGCCUUGAAGGGGGCCGUCGUUGCGGAUUUUAAGUCGCUCUUGAUCAGAGUGGACUCUAAACAUUAGUUCUAUCACUCCGGCUAGAACUUGGUUCUAUCGCUCUGGCAAGAACCCGAUUAUGUCGCUGAAUAGCCUUAAUCGAUUCCGUCGCUUUGGCCGGAAUUUAUCUUGUCGCUUCGGACUCGAUAACACAGUGCAGUCGCCUCUGAUCAGGGAAGGACUAUAAACAUGAGUUACCGUGGCCUGGAACUCGAUCCAUUUCUAGUCUCUUUGGCCUGUGGAUUCUGAAUCAUUACGUCACUCUGGGCGGAUGAUUCGAUCUCAUCUUGUCGCUUUUGCCUUGGUGCUGGAUCAAAAAACUUUGAACCUUGAUUGACAGGGGGGGGGGGUACUGGUGAUACACCAUGUUUCUUGUGCUCUCUUCAGGGGGGAGUACUGGUGAGACAUGCUUGAUUACACCAGUCACUACCCAUCAACGCUUCUCAUCAAGGACUAGGGCUCCGUCGCUAUGGCAGGACCCCCGGAGAGCUCCCACGGUGCGGAACAUCGUUCUUCGUCCAGAUCGCCGAGUUAGCCCGUAAGUCGCCCGAUUGGACUACCAAGUAGCCGACAUACAGGAUAACUCGCCGAGUUAAGGCAAGAUCGGUAGUAUGGUAGACUGUACGUCUUGGCCCUAGAAACUCGCCGAGUUAGCCCUUAACUAGGCGACUUCCAUACCUGAAUCGGCGACUUACGACCGUUACUCGGCGGCAGCCAACAUCAUAAAUGUUACCAUAUAUGACCAUAGGCGCGAUCUCCGCCGAUGAGUGCGCCCUCCGAGACCCUAUAAAAGGGGUCUCAAGGGAACACUCAAAGGCACGAUUCAAGUUCCACUCUCACACCAGAGCACUACACUAUGAAACUCAGCGAGUCUCAUUAGAAUCGCCUAGUUUCACUUGCAGGUAUUUUGACGUAGAGCGUGCGUCGUUGACUCCAAAGCCUCCGGCCCUCCUCGCAACCCCGCGAGCCCACUGGUAGCAGAUUUCGUGCUUUAUCAGCUGGCGCCGUCUGUGCGACUAUCGAACUAUGAUAUCCCGUCGUAAUCGCGAAAUUUUCUUCGCAAAGUUCGGUUCGAUUCCCUUCCGGUAAAUCGCUGACUUUGUGUCAAGGAAUCGUCGAUUCAUACAGGCAAUCGCCGACUUUACCUAGUGAGUCGCCGAUUCCGAGUUAUUCUGCUAGUUAAGAGUGUUGUCCACGGCUUGGUUCAAAAAAGGCCAUAAGUUGAAUCGUCGAUUCCACACAGGGAGUCGUCGAUUCCUUUAACUUUUUUGACCAAGUGUUGUCAAUGCCUUUUGCUCUGGAACAUUCACUUUCACAUAGGUUGGAUUUUUCAUAAAAAAUCAUGUAUCCUCAUGUGAAUCGACGAUUCCCACCUGAAUCGACGAUUCCCACACUGAGUAGGUGAUUCCCACACUUGAAUUGUCGAUUCGGUCAUCGUCUUCAUUCAUCGCUUUGGCUGAAUAAGACCACUCAUAGCCCAGCUCUUUGACCGAAACGAAAAUCCAUCACUUUGGCUGGAUUCGCAUCGUCGUUUCGGUAAAAAAAAGAAGAGUAUGUGGCUUUUCCCCUUUUUUCACUUCCAGUGAUUCUGUCGGUCCACCUCUGGAAGUCCCAUAUCCGAUUUUGGGAUUCUGAGACCACUCAUCACGUGAAAAAAGUUUUCUCUACGAGUACAAAAAAGCAGAAUUUCCCAACAGUGCAAGGAAUCUUUUCUGAGAGAGGUCUAAACAGGCACCCCAAAAACCACCUCUGGCGGCACGAUUUCUGCAGAAAAAUCGCAAAAAAUUUGCGAUUUUUUUUAUUAUUUCAAACUUUGGGGAUUAGUAGUACUGCUCAAGGGGGUCACAAAACUACAUAGAAAUAUUAUACAAAAAAUUUUCUGUUUUGUGACACCCGGGGGGCAGGUACCUACCCAUAGCCUUCGAUACUUCGGAAGAACUUCCACUCGUAGUCUGUUGCUUCGACCCAAUAGAAGCAACCAUCCCAUUUAUGGCUCCUUUUACUAAAGAUCAUAAAAAGAAAGCUCCCGCUAUUGUUACUGAAGUAGGAGCUUCUGGUAGGAGGGUUGGUUCCCGUAUUAUACCAACCUUCAAUGCACCACUGUCGGCACAUGAGGUGCCCUCAUCACUCUCAUCAAAUGGGGGAGUGAACCUAACUCCUGCGCUACAAGAGAGGUUGAUUAACUUUAUAGAUUCCAUAGAAAAAAGAGUUAGCAACCUCGAGAAAAGCGAGGGGCAACAAGACCAUCAUCCGCGAAGGAGCGGGUGAAUCUGGGUCUUACUAUUGUCCAUCUGCGGAAAAAAAGAGGAAAUCUCCAGUGCCUCCUAAAGCAAAGGUUGGACCUAGCAAGAGUCGCACUGACAAGACUCUUACAACAUGGUUCGUGGAAGACCUCCGUUGGAAGCUGCCCAACGAUCCAGUCGCCAGCAGUCCGAUCGAGUUUUUGAGAAUCAAAAGCGCUCCUUUUCACAAGGACCUUUUGAAAGAAUCUUUUCCACCAACCUGGCGGGUACCCAGGAUAGAAGCGUACGACGGUUCGAGUGAUCCAAAAGAUCACAUCAACCUCUACCUUAGUGUCUUGGAACCGCAGACCACCGAUAACGGACUAUUGUGUUGGGCAUUCCCCGACACUCUCAAAGGCAGCGCUUAUCGGUGGUUUUCUGGUCUGCCAGCUGGCUCGGUCUCCAGCUUCGCGGACCUCUCUUCGAAGUUCAUCGCCCAAUAUGUGGGGAUGAUCAGAAUAAAACACAGUACCAACGCACUAUUGGCACUACGACAGAAUAAGCUGUCUCUGAGGGAUUACAUGAUUAAGUUCACUUCGAUGAUGACAGAAGUGAACGACCUAAUCCCGAGUCUGGCCAUAGCAGGGUACAUGAAUGGGCUAGUACCCUACUCUCCUUUGGCCCAGAGCCUUACGCUCCAUAAAGUGGAGACCCUGCCCGUCCUCUUCCAACGAGCUCAAUCGUUCAUUAAGAUAGAAGAGGUGAACAAUAACAAGCUGGACGGAGUCGAGCCACCCAGCCAGAAAAACCUCGCUAUGUUGAAGAAGAUACAUACGAGGAUACAAGUUCUCGGUCUGAAACCUCGACUAGUCCUCCUCGAUACAGAAAAGAGUUUCUCAUCAGCAGUUAUGACCACCAAAGUCAUAACUCAUACUCUCAGUCUGGUAACAGUUAUGACCACGAAAGCCAUAGCUCACACUCUCGGCCCAGUAACAGUUAUGAAAGCCAUAGCUCACAAUCCUAUGACAGUGAUGGCAACCAGAGCCACAGUUCACACUCGCAAUCAAGUGCAUCACGCUAGUAGUGAGGAACUAUCAUCUGUUAGAAGAUAGGAUUGGCCAAAGUAACCAUGCAGGCUAUGCUUCUGUCAGUGGCAACCAGCAACCAAAAACACGUUAAUUCUUUUGUUUGUCGCUUAUAUUAUUCUCAUAUAUUCUCAAUAGCGAUAUUAUUCUAAAUAAAUCUCUCUUCAAUCUAUAAAGAUACUAUGCAAUAUGUAUGCUUCAUAUCAGCGACCAUAUCAUAUUUAGAAUAAUCAUCCAUCGCUUCAGACGGAUCAAUCAUCCAUCGCUUCGGCUGGAUGGCGUUCGUCACUUCGACCUCAUAUAUCAUCCAUCGCUUUGGCUGGAUGAUACCCGUUGCUCAGACCUAUCUUACAACCCACGAGUCUAAGUUACUCUGUCGCUUCGGCCGAAACGAUAGAAUGCGUGGAUUCUGGCGGAAGCAACAAAAUGCGUGGAUUCUGGCCGAAGUGAAAAAAUGCAUGGAUUCACUAUCAGAAUCUAGUUCACUAUCAGAACUGAUGUUUAUAGCCCACCCUGAUCAAGAGCGACUUUACGUCCGCAACGACGGUUACCCCAUAGGACAAAGCGACAAGAUGAGUCGAGAUCAUUAAGGCCAAAGCAACGAAAUGAUCUCCAAGUUUAUCAAGGCCAAAGCGACGAGAUAGAAGAAUUAUUGAAGCCAAAGCGACAACAUAAUUCUUGGUCCAUUAAGGCCAAAGCGACAAAGUGGACCUGGAUCUAUUAAGGCCAAAGCGACAAAAUAGAUUGACUCACUAUCAGAGUCUGGUUCACUAUUAGAACCUUUCCUGCAAAAAAGAAAACAUCCUGCAAAACAACAAGAUCAGUCAAAAACACAUAUUUUAUUUACUUAUUGAACUUACCGUGCGAUUUUACCUUCCUUGAUGCCUCUACUUUGCUCAAAUUGAUCCUUGGUAAAUCUGACCGAAGCGACAGAUUUUACCAUGCUCAAGCUACUUUGACGACUUCUGGCCGGAGCGACAGAAGUGUCGGAAGAGUUUGUGAUGCUCCCCCCCGAAAUGUGACGACUUCUGACCGAAGCGACAGAAGCGUCGGGAGUACUUGUGAUACUCCCCCUCGAAAUGUGACGACUUCUGUCCGAAGUGACAGAAGUGUCGGAAGAAUUUGUGAUACUCCCCCUCGAAAUGUGAUGGCUUCUGUCCAAAGUGACAGAAGUGUCAGGAGAGCUUGCGAUACUCCCCCUCGAAAAUCGUGUCUUUGCGACACAUAACCUUUGGAAUGAGUGGUUUUUGAAGUACUUGAGUAUUCGAAAUUAAAAAAUAUUCGAAACUCGAGGGUUACCUUUGCAAUUUUGAACCCUGAUGCUGGAGAGAGCUUGUGAUACUCUUUCUUGAAAUGCGACGACUUCUGGCCGAAGUGACAGAAGUGUCGGGGAGAGCUUGUGAUACUCCCUCCUGAAAAUGUGAUGACUUCUGGCCGAAGCGACAGAAGCGUCGAAGAGAGCUUGCAAUACUCCCUCCUGAAGAUGUGUUGUUGUUUACCCUGAGUCGGCGAAUGGGUGCCCCAAUCGUCGACUCCUAAGUUUUGGGUAACUGUGAGGGUUGUUUUGAAAUUUUUCCAUUUGAGUCGACGACUCCCUCUGGGAAUCGUCGACUCCUGAUUGUAGAACGUAGGAUCUCUCAGAUGAUCCUUGGAUAACCUUUAUGGGUAGGUUAACACCUUAGAGUAUCAAAGAACUCUUAAAAACCUAAAAAUCUUUCAAGGUAGAUUCGACCUAAGAGUUUUCCCGGAAACUCUAUAAAACCAAACUUAGAGUUUUUUGGUUUAGUUCAAAAACCUUCUCUCGCACUUUGAUGAUCUUGAGACAAUCCUCUCAACCAAAGUGGACACACACAAGAGAUAAUUAGAGGAGUGAAAUAUUAAACAAACAACACUUCUUACUUGUAAAGAUGAACAAGAAGAUUAGAAGAAGUUGUAGAGCUUUUAAAGCUUUGGAAAGCUAAAACAGUACUUGAGAACUUUGGAAGCUUGGAAGCAAGAACACUUAUGAACUCAAAUGUGGAGUGAAAAACUCUUUUGAUUGCUUGUAGUGUGGUGAGUGAAAAUGAGGGGAAUACCCUUCUAUUUAUAGCCUUGGCCACUCGAUGUCCACCCUUGGAUCUUCAAUGAAUGACUCCUUGAUUUCUCACAUAAAUCCAAGCUUUGUCUUUCAAAUCUUAUCUUCAAUAGUGUUUUCUUAGAUAGUGUUUUGUUGGAAAAUCUUAUCUUUAAAUAAGUCCAACGUGAAUAGUGUUUUGUCCCUUUGAAAUAUUAUACCUUGAAUAAAAAGUCAAAGAUAAUAAUAAUAAUAAUAUUCAAGAUAAAGAUACAAUUAUUCCAAUUCCAAUUUUAACUUUGAAUUAAACCUUUGACUCAAAUGAUUAAAUAAUUAAUUGGAGUUAGGUUUAAUAUUGACUAAUUUCACCCUAUAGAUUAAAAGUGUAAUUAGGGUUUAAAUUAACAUAAUUAAAAUAUAAUCCUAUGUCGACAAUUUUGAUUAUACAUAGACUACACUGACACUUUUGCCACUGUGUCAAGGAUAACCACACUAAGGACACUAAUAGCAAUAGAUUCCCAAAACAAAUGGCAUAUACAUCAAAUGGAUGUACAAAAUACAUUCUUACAUGGAGAACUCAAUGAAGAAGUCUUCAGGAAAAUACCUCAAGGAUCGACUAAUAAUUGGAAAACAAAAAUCACAAAACAAAAACGUAGUAUGCAAACUGAAGAAAUCUUUAUAUAUAUAGUUUAAAGCAAGCCUCUAGGAUGUGGUUCCAAAAACUAAAUGAUGCUCUAAAAACAAUAGGCUUCAAACAAACUAGGUCAGACUAUGCACAUUUCAUCCAAGAAGAAGGAUAAUCUAAGACAAUAAUACUAGCAUAUGUUGAUGACAUACUUGUCAUAGGAAACAACCUAAAUAAGAUAAAGAAAACAAAAGAAGAAUUGGCAAAAAAAAUUAACAUUAAAAAUCUAGGUAAACUAAAAUUCUUCCUAGGAUUAGAAUUCACCACAUCACAAAAAGGAAUAUAUAUUGGACAGAGAAAAUAUGCUCUGAACCUCCUAAAAUCUACUGGAUAUCUUAAUUCAAAACCAUCCAACACAUCAGCAAGUAAACCACAAGAAACAGACAAAACCAAUGAAGAAAAAGAAUUAGAAGAUCCAACACAUUACAGAAGCAUUGUUGGAAAACUAGUAUAUCUAACUGUAUCCAGACCAGACAUAAUCUUUGUUGUAAAUUCAUUAAGCCAAAACAUGGUUAAACCCAAAGAGAAAGAUCUAAAUGCAGCACACAAAGUACCGAGAUAUAUAAAACAGUCACCUGGAUCAGCAAUACUCUUUUCUGCAUCAACAACUUCAGGACUAAGAGCAUUCUCUGACUCAGACUGGGCAUCAUGUCCAUCAACCAGAAGAUCCACCACAAGGUUCACCAUCUAUCUUGGAGACUGAUUUCCUGACAAACAAAGAAACAAUACACGGUUGCAAGGUCAUCAGCAGAGGCAGAAUAUCAGUCCCUAACAUACACUAGCUGCGAGAUAACAUGGAUAACAAACUUAUUGAAAGAAAUAGGGAUACACAAAAAUGGCUACAAAAUCCCAACCCUAUUCACAGACAGUGACUCGGCUGCAGCAAUAGCAAAGAACCCAGUACUUCAUCCACGAACAAAACACAUUGAGAUAGACAUCCACACAAUACGCGAUAAAAUCAUGGGAAAAGAUUUGCAAAUAAACAGAGUGGACACAAAGAUGAAUGUAGCAGAUAUCUCCACAAAACCAAUUGUUGGAACACUAUUCAAAACACUAACAUCACAACUGGGAUUGGAUAAAAUAUACUGAAGAAGAAACAAGGAAGAAGAUCAGGAAACAAACCUCUGCCUUCAACAACCACGACUCCACACCAGAAAACUUUAAAAAAGACACGAUUCAGAACCACACUGAAGGAACAUGCAAAAAGAGGGGAACAAAACCUAGAAGAAACACACCUCAGCCGCGACCUCCCGCCAAAAACCCUAAGAAAACCCAACAGUCCCAAUAACCUUUCAAAACCCCGACUGUUCAUAAUCUCACCUCGACUUUUAAAUAUAGGAAACUUUUUCAUAAAAACACCUGAAACUUACAAAACCAACCCAAAACCCAACAUUUUUCUUUUGGCCUGCUUUUGAGGGGGACUAUUAAGAUAAACACCUUACCAGUUCAUCUUUUUACCAAUAUACCCAAACACAUAGUUAAUACCACCUAAUCCAUCAUCAACCCAACUACCCUAAUUAAUACCUUUAUAGUCGUUAAUCCUCAACCAACACUACCAUAUUACUAACCUUUAGCGACGGUCAGAAUCCGUCGCUAAUUAUCAAAGGUCGUCGCUAAUUGAUGAUUAGUUACACCUAUAAAUACACCCUCACAACACAUGCAAUACAAGUAUAUAAGUUCUGGUCUACUUUAUCAUCUGGUUUGGAUUCAAAUCUCUGUCUCAAUCUCAAUCUGGUUUCCUGGUCUAUUGAAUCUGGAUCUUCGAAUCUGUCUUGGCAUUUCCGAUCUUCGUGACGCCAAUCUGUUCCGGCACUUCUCCGAUCGUCAAUCGUCAAUCUGUUCGAUCAUCAUCUUCUGUCAUCAUACUCGAUCAUCUAUAUUGUCUUUAUUUCUCAUAUCAAUAUCUGUUCUCAUUUCACUUCAAUCAUACAUAUUCUAUAUCUGUCAUCAUAUCUAAAUAUUACAAACAACAAUCAUUUAAUUAUAUAAGUUAUCAUAAGUUAUCAUAAAUAAAUCCAUGCUUGGAAUUCUAACAGUCCAUUAGUCAAAUUUAAAUUAAUUUAUCUAUUUUCUGGUCCAAUCUUGGCUCAUUGCUUAAGGUCUUAUUUCUUGGUUCGUUUUGCAAAUAAAAGUCUUGGAUUUUUAUGAGAAUUAUAUACCAACCAUCGAUUUCGCUGUACAUUUGUCAAAUUAAGUUUUUUUUUAAAUCGUUAUUCGUUUCUAAGGCUAAGAUUAAAUUUUUUUUUGACAAAACUGGUUUUAUGUCUAAGAAAAAUCCAAAAGGACUUUAAUAGUAAUAACUAAUUAAUAAUUGACCACUGAAUUAUUGAAUCGACAUUCUUAAUUGGCUUAUUAAUCACAUUAAUCUAAUCAGAUUAUUCUAGAUUCUCUUAGGUAGAAUAAACAUGAUUUUUUUUUUUGUAUUUUUUUCUUUUAAACUGUUCACUGAUGUCACAUGUGAAUGUGAUGUGUAGUAGGUAAUGAAAUUAGGAUUGUGAACUCAAUAUAUAUAAAAAUAUAAUUAUUUUAUAUAUAAUAUGUUAUAAUUUAUUAAAAAAAAUUAUUUUUUAAAUUGAGACGACUUGUUUAGGUUUCCAAUUGUUUCGAGAUCGGCAUACGGAUCGUCUGGUUCUCACUCAUAAAUAAAAUGAUGGUAGUAUGACAUUUAAACAAUAGAAUAAUCAAUAUAUUGAAUCUCACAUUAGUUAGUAGAGUAAGCAUUACAUUCUAGAUGUCAAAUUUGAAUCUCAGAAUUUGCCAAAUGUUAUUAUUGUUGAUUUAAUCAUUGCAUUUCCUAUUAUAAAUAGUUGAUGAGAUUAGAACGAUAUUAUUCAAUUCCAAUUCAAAUUCCACAAUUGCAAUCACUACAAAAAACCAGCGCAGUUCUGGCGCCCAUCUCCCGGCGGCCAGGCCGCCGGUAGAUACUUUCGUCGGCCUGGCCGCCGGAAUGUUACACUUGUCCGCCUGCAUAAUUUUCCCUCGUAAAUGAGAGAAAUUUUCUGACGGCCAGGCCGCCGGUAUACUAAAACCCUCAACGGUUGGGAGAAAAAUUCCCGGCGGCCUGGCCGCUGGUUACUUUUUCCCGCUUGUUUUUUUCAGUAGCCGGCCGGCGGCCUGGCCGCCAGGAUUUUUUGGAAACCCUAAAAUUACAACUUGCGCCGCCGUGGUCCCCGUACAGUCAAACUUAGUCAAACGAAACUUAAGUAUUUCCCGGCGGCCAGGCCGCCGGGAAAUUUUUAUAUAAGAAAAAAAUUUCCAGACUUUUCUCAUUUCUCCCAACGGUUUCCUCACUUCUCCAAACUCUCCCAAACUCUCCCAAACUUCUCCCAAGGUUUCGAAAGUUCUCCCCAAGUGCGUUUGUUUGAGCACUCCGGCCAUUCCUCCCCAAGGUAAUAAUCUCCCCUUCUUGAUCUUCAUCUUCAUGUUCUACUUCUUCAUCUUCAUCUUCUCCUUAUCUUAUUAUAUUUUAUAUUAUCUUUUUCUAUUCUUCUACAUUUUCUAUUUUGUUCUUCAUUUGAUGUAUGUUAUUUGAUUAAAUUAGGGGGUUAUGGUUGUAUGACAUUGGGGUUCAUGUAUUUGUGGGUUUAUGACAUUUAGGGUUUAUGUAUUUAUUAUUUGGGGGCUUAUAUAUGUAUUUGGGGGUUUGAUUUUAUGGUUAGAUGUUAGGUUGAUUUAUUGUAGUUAGAUUUUAGGGUUUGAUUUAGGUUUGAUUUAUUGAUGUUAGGUUUAUUAUUUAUUGGUUUUUAUUUAGUUUAUUUACUGAUGUUAUUUAGGGGGGUUUAUUUACUGUUUUUAGUUUAUUUUUAUCAUUUACUGAUUUUAGUUCAUUUAGAUUAGGGUUUUACUGUUUUUAUAAAUUAUAUUAAUUUUGUCUUUUGAUUUGUGAUUUUAAAUCAUACUUUCCAAUGAUUUGUCUUUUGAUUUAAAAAAAAAAAUCAUGCAUUGUGAAUUUGUAAUGGGAAUUUGUGAUGUGGGGUUAGUAAUUGUGAUUUACUCUUUUUAGGUGUUUUGAUAUUGGGGGUUUUAUUUAGGGGUUUUGAUAUUGGUGCUUUGAUUUAGUUUUGUUUAUUUUAGUUAAUUAUAGUUAGUUAAUUAAUUGACUUAUGUACUGUUUUGAUUAUAUUUGAUUUAGUUAGUUAGUUAAUUAUAUUUGAUUUAGUUAAUUGACUUUAUUUGUAAUAUAUGUACUGUUUUGAUUUUAAUUGUGAUUUUAAUAUAUUUAGUUGUGAUUUUAGGGUGUCGUACUCUAUGUGGAAAGAUUUUUUUUUUUUGCAAUCAAUGUAAUGGCUAGAAUCCGACUUAAAUGAAUGUAGUUUUGAUGAUGAUGAAUGUAGACAGAGUAUUUUUUUUUUUGAUGAUGAUGAAAGAGAGAUUUUUGGUUUUAGUUUGAUUAGGAUUUUUGGUUUUAUUUCAUUAGGAUUUUAAUCACUGAAUGUAGAUUUUAGUUUUUCUUUGAUUAGGAUUUAUGGUUGAUUAGGAUUUAAAAUGAUGUUUUGAUAUGUGCUUGAAAUUAGUAUGUGGAACAGAGGUGGGAUAUAUUUCGAUAUGUGAUUGAAAUUCCUUUUUAAUUUGUAGACAGAAUUAGGUAUUGAAAUUCCUUUUAAAGUUGUGCAUGUUUUGAUGGAAUUGACGUGAUAUUUGUGCAUGUUUUUAUGUAUGUAAUGGUUGCAAUCAGGAUGUAGUUUUUUUGUUUAGCAAAUCAAUUCCAUUAUAAUAUUAAUGUUAUGACAGCAUGUAAAAUCAAGUGUGGUACAUUGUUUUGAUGUAAAAAUGAAAAUGAAGUUGAUUUUAAUUUUCGUAUUCAUGCAAAUCGAUGUGGGACAAAAUGUAGGAUUUGCUUUGAAUAGGUAAGAGCAACAAAAUGAAGUUUUUUUGCUUUGAAUUGGAAUUUAUUUUUGCUUUGAAUAGGAUUUUUGGUUGAUUGGGAUUUAAAAUGAUGUUUGUAAAUGUUUUUUUGAUAUGUGAGGUAUGGAAAAAUGAAAUCAAGUUGUGCAUAUUUGGUUAAAUUAACGUGAUUUUUCUUUGAUGCUUCUAUAUAACUUGUAUUUACCAUUCUUAUUGUUCUGUACACUACACUAUGGUCUUCAAUAAUACGAUCCAAUUUUGGAAUUCCGAAAGUACAGCAGUUAUGCAUAGCACAUGAUCUGCCUGCCAAAAUGAUAUAUAGUUAAAUUUUGGAAUUCUGUUUCAUUUUAAUAUGAUAUAUGUACUGUUUGUAGUAUUUAUUGGUGUUUAUGUAGUGUUAAUUUAGUGACAUUUAAUUUCUAUGUUAAAUUUAUUUUAGUUUGAAGCCUUCUUCUAAUCCGGCCGGCCACUUUUCUCCGGUCAUUGUCGAAAUUAUCUUGAAGGUAUGGUUUACAUUAUGUUCAUCUUCUUCUCUUAUUUUUUUGUUGCUGGAAUUUUAAUUUAAGGAUUGUAGAUUGGAAUGCCAUAAAAUGAAAUGCAUGUUUAGAAAUGCCAUGUUUAGAAAUGCCAUGUUUAGAAAUGCUAUAUUGAAUAAUGUGAUUGUAAUUUUCUAUGUGAUUGUAAUGUUUAGAAAUACCAUGUUAGGGUUAGGGUUAGGAUUGUAAUGUUUAGAAAUGCCAUGUUAGGGUUAGGGUUAGGAUUGUAAUGUUUAGAAAUGCAAUGUUAGGGUUAGGGUUAGGAUUGUAAUUUUUUAUAAUUAAAUAAAUAAUUAUUUAAUUAAAUUUAAAUAAUUAUUUAAUUAAUUAAUAAUUUAAAAAAAGUAACAAUCAGAUUUUGUAUAAGUGUGAUUGUUAGUUAGUUUUUAAAUAAUUGUUGAAUAAUCAAUUAUUAAUUAUUAAUUAUUUAUUUAUUUAAUUAACUAAUAAUUAAUAAUUAAUUAAGAAAAUAUUAAAAAAUCCAUAAAUCAGUUUUUAUAUUAAGAACUUGAUUUAAAAUCCAAUGUUGAAAACAAUUAUUUAAAAAUUAAAAUCAUUUAUUUAAUUAAUAAUUAAAUAAAUAAUUAUAUAAUUAAAUUUAAAUAAUUAUUUAAUUAAUUAAUAAUUUAAAAAAAGUAACAAUCAGAUUUUGUAUNNNNNNNNNNNNNNNNNNNNNNNNNNNNNNNNNNNNNNNNNNNNNNNNNNNNNNNNNNNNNNNNNNNNNNNNNNNNNNNNNNNNNNNNNNNNNNNNNNNNACCAGCGGCCAGGCCGCCGGAAAAUUUUUUUUUGAAAAUUAUAUCCUGGCGGCCUGGCCGCCGGAAAAAUCGUAAUCCAAAAUUUUUUCCCGGCGGCUUGGCCGCCGGUAUUUCAACAUUCCGGCGACAACAACUCCGGCGAUGGAAUCUCGUCGGCUUGGCCGCCAGGAACCAUUAUACCGGCGGCCUGGCCGCCGAAAUUUGCCGCCAGAAAUACGCUGAUUUUUUGUAGUGAAUGGAGUUCAAAGGCCCAUCAUUUCUAUUUUUUUUCUCUUUGUUCUUACCUUUGAUGAUUUUGUUGAUUCUUAUCAAAAAGAAAAACAACAAAAGAUUGCCACCAGGACCGACAAAGCUUCCUAUCAUUGGGAAUCUCCAUAACUUGUUUUUUGCAGGUGACGAUCAUCUUCCUCGUGUGUUUGGGAAGCUCGCAAACAAGUAUGGCACGUUUAUGCAUUUAAAAUUAGGUCAAAUCUCUCAAGUUAUCGUCUCUUCAUCUGAUAUUGCAAAAGAGUUUCUUAAGACUCAUGACAUCAACUUUUCUUCUCGACAAGAUAUGUUCACGUCCAGACUUCUCUUUUGCAAUAAUCAUGAUGUUCUUUUUGCACCUUAUGGUGAAUACUGGAGACAGAUGAGAAAAAUCGUCACUCUCGAAGUUCUCAGUGCGAAAAAGGUGAAGUCUUUUAACAGGUUAAGGAGAGACGAAGUGGGCAAAAUGAUCGAUAUUCUCACCAAAGCUGCAAGUAAUAGCACGUCG
This 34509-nucleotide long non-coding RNA is filed under the name Zostera marina. RNAcentral's name for it is "long non-coding RNA (ZMAR_LNC000999)". Lineage: Eukaryota; Viridiplantae; Streptophyta; Magnoliopsida; Alismatales; Zosteraceae. The record is from RNAcentral.